AGGAUAAAAUCAAAAAGAAGUAUACCUCAAAAAUAACUAAUUAAAAAGAAUAAUAAUUAAUGUAAGAGUUAUCCGCUUGGAGCCAACCGGACCAAGACGGUUUU
Molecule: regulatory RNA element, 104 nt
Organism: Peptococcaceae bacterium SCADC1_2_3
Lineage: Bacteria; Bacillati; Bacillota; Clostridia; Eubacteriales; Peptococcaceae
Rfam family: pan motif
Source: Rfam